CCUACGGGAGGCAGCAGUGGGGAAUAUUGCACAAUGGGGGAAACCCUGAUGCAGCGACGCCGCGUGAGUGAAGAAGGGUUUCGGAGCGUAAAGCUCUGUCCGCAGGGAAGAAGAUGACGGUACCUGACCAAGAAGCCCCGGCUAACUACGUGCCAGCAGCCGCGGUAAUACGUAGGGGGCAAGCGUUAUCCGGAUUUACUGGGUGUAAAGGGGGCGCAGACGGGAAGGCAAGUCAGGAGUGAAAGCCCAGGGCUUAACCUGGAGACUGCUGUUGAAACUGGAUGGCUGGAGUGAAGGAGAGGUAGGCGGAAUUCCGAGUGUAGCGGUGAAAUGCGUAGAUAUUAGGAGGAACACCGGUGGCGAAGGCGGCCUACUGGACUGUAACUGACGUUGAGGCUCGAAGGCGUGGGGAGCAAACAGGAUUAGAUACCCGAGUAGUC
RNAcentral lists this ribosomal RNA (440 nucleotides) under uncultured bacterium. Its description in RNAcentral is "partial 16S ribosomal RNA". It matches the Rfam family "Bacterial small subunit ribosomal RNA", at positions 338 to 795 of the family's 1533-position model. The record is from RNAcentral.